Molecule: long non-coding RNA, 7351 nt
Organism: Corvus hawaiiensis (hawaiian crow)
Lineage: Eukaryota; Metazoa; Chordata; Aves; Passeriformes; Corvidae
Exons: 7
Source: RefSeq, a predicted model, not a curated record
ACCAAGAGGAAAUGGGAUGAAUCAGCUCAGGCUGCGCUGGCACUUCUGUAAGAAUUCCACAGGCUAACACAGUUCUGGCAAGACAAGCAGCGUGUGAGGGGUCACCUUCUGGAGCUGCUUGCCUUUGAAGUGUGGUGGAGGUGAGACUGAAGCUGAUUAUCUCCAGCAAAGGGAGGCUUAGAUUUGUUAUUUCUCAUCUCUGGCAUUUUGUUCAACUCGCCUGCCGAGAACAACACAAGAACGAAGUUCCAGGGUGUCCACGGCUUUCUGAACAUCCAGAGCUGAUGGAAUGGUCGGGUCCAGCUCUCUUCCAGGCUCUGGUGCCAAGCCUUGGAACUCUGGAAUGUCUGGGAUGGAGCACGCACAGCCAUCAAUUUUCAGUUCCUCACAUAAGAAGAGACUGAGUAGACCAGACUUGAACAAGCUGCUCCUGAGUCUGGGAGAUUAAGCGAGGACAUCACAGUGCAGGUCCUUUCUACCCAGAUGACUGGAGAACCUGUGGGUAAUGAAGCAAGAAAUACUGUGCACAUAAAGGCUGAUCGAUGGUGAGGGAGUGGGGGAGUUCAUCCAGCCAUGAAGUAAGAGAGCAGCAAAGUAACAACUACAGAGACUUUUCAGAAGCUGCUGUUCCAUUGUGUCUGAAUUCACUUGCCAGCAACAGCUGGGAAGUCUGUGUUAGGAGAAAUCAGUCUGAUCCCACUCGAUGCUGCAGUGAUUUCAGGUACUACAAAAGUAGCUGGAUUUGGGGAUUCAAACAGAUGCAAAAAUCCAAGGUUGGCCAGAUCAGGACUUCAGCUUGCGAGGUAUGAAACACAGAGCUGGAUCCCUGCAGCAGCUCUGGGGCAGUGAUUCUGCUCGUCUGUCUGUGAGAUGCCUUUUGACUUGCUCUCAGCCUUGGCAAGAAACUCACAUUUGAGGCUUUGGCUCUCCUUCCAAGGGGGAAUAUUUAGGCCAAUACGGACACUGGAAUCUCCCAGUCCUUGAGGAACCAAUAGAACCAUGGGCAAGUUCCACUGAAUGUUACUGGAGAGUUUGUUUUAGAAUGCUUCGGAGCAGGCGGUGCAGGGAACACAGCUGGACCCAGCCCCUGAUCCCAAGGGGGAUGAAAUCCAGUUUGCCUCCAGCGCUGGCAGAUUUUCACCUGGAUCCACAGCCAGGUGAGAGCUUCCUGCAGCCACACCGUGCCAGGACUCUCCUUUCAGGAGUCACUCCUCCUGCCACCUGGGAUUACUGACACAGGGGAACACAAGCGAAGCAGCUCAAUGGCCCAGCAGGAUUUUGGCCAUUCUUGAAAUCCCACUUUCUACCACAUACCAGAAAUGAAGUGAAUACCUUUCUGCUUCAGGGGGAUCCAUGAAUCAGAAACAAAGCACAGCAGAACAACAGGCUGGUGUUUCUCCUCCUGCAGCACCAGGAAUGCUGUGGCAACAGCGCAAUGUCCAGGUGUCCUGUGGUUUCCAUGGCAGAGGAUUCCAUGGGACCUGAGCACAGCAGCUCAUGGGCAGAACCUCGGGGUCAUUCCUUGCGCAGAGGAGCUGCAGCCACCUCAGAUCCAUGAAUGAUGGGGAGCAGGAGCAUGGACACUGAUCCAGGCUCAGACUGCUGACAACAGGGGUUUGUCCCCAGUUAUCAUUGCUGGAGCUGGGGCUUCGGAUGAGUCCCUUCCCCAUGCCUCAGUUUCACCAUCUGUACAAACAAAGUCAUAACACUUCCUUGAGAAAUUUGUGCUGUGUGGGUGAAAAAACACACUGGAUAACCCCAAGGAAUUUUGUAAUUUUUAAAUGUUUAAACUUUGGAAUGUUUGGAUUUCUCUGUGACUGACAGUGAACGUAGGGGGUCCUCUGGCUCCAGUCCCAGGUGGAAAACUGGAUGCAGUGGCACAGGCAGGAAAUUGUUGGACAGCAAAGCACCAUGUCUGAAGUGUAACCAGAUGGACUGUCCCGUUAGAUUGUCCUGAGCCUGUGUCUGACCAUGAUUCCUCAAAGGAAGCCUCUUCACCUGCAGCCACGCUCUCCUUGGUGAGGCAACAAACACCAUUUCAGUGCUUUCCUAUUUGUGCUGCUGGAAAAUGCUCUGGGUAAAGCCAUGACUGGUGAGUGAGUACAUCUGAUUUUCAGCUCCUUCCAGGGCAGCCUCCAGCUCUGUUGUUUAUAGAACAUGCAACAGAUGAGAUCGAUGCAGAGUGAAUUGUUCUCUUCAUCACCUUCAGGGGGUUCUGCUCCUCCUCCUGAGAGCCAGGGAGUCCCUGUCGGGGGCUGCUCUUUGCAGACCUUGUGUGAGGCUCUCAGAUGACUCCAAUGCCUUUCCAAAGAGGUCCUGGUUCCUUCCAAAUCUGCAGUUUCAGAACCUAAACCCGCUCCAGACACAGAAGGGAUUGCGUGGGCCAGUGAUGGGCUGCAGGUCCCCGAUGGCUCUGCACCAGUGCCAGGGCAGGUUCUGAGGGCUCACCCAGCCAAGGCCAGUGCCAGCUGCUGCCCCGGGGGUUGCCAUGGCCAGGCCACCCCCUGGUCCCUCGGGGGUCUCUCCAGGUGGGCUCGCAGCCCUGGGGCUGUGGCUGGGACCGGCGCUGAGCUCAGCUCCCUGCAGAUGGCACUGCCAUCCUGUGCUGAGGAACCUGCCCUGCCGCUCUCCCGGCCUUUCUCCUUGCUCGGGGAAGCAAAAAAACACUCAACCCUCUCUGCAGUGUAAAGAGCACAUUUUCUGUCAGCUUUGCUGUAGUCCCAGCCUGCAGCUGAGAGGGAGCAGUGAUGUUCUGAGGCAAAGCGAGGCCCAUUCCCAGAGCAAAGCCUAGAAAAUCGGACAAUCAUUUAGGCUGGAAAAGACCUUUAGGAUCCCCGAUUCCAGCUGUUAAUGUAACGCCGCCAGUGUGAGCUACGUGGUCACAGCCCCAUUACAUUUAUUCCUUCCAUUUAUUCUUCAUGCUGUUUGGCCUUUGUAAGGGUGGAUGGAGCCAAUGUGGUUUCUUGUAAGAGCCCUUUAUAAAAGCCAACCAAAUCCUGAUUUAUGGAACUGUUUUGAGUUUGGAACUGGGGAAGAGAAUAAAGGAAAGGAGAGAAAGGUGUUCUUGGCUGAGCUGGUCACUGGAGAAUGAAAAGGGAAAGGUCUCAGCUUUCCCCCCCUGCUUUUCCUUUAGUGAAGCCCAUCAUGGAAAAGCUUGGAAAUUAAACAUCAUUUGGGCUUUGAUGUCAGGGGUCUGCUUGUGCUGGGGGUAUCAGGCAGCUAAGGAGGCGUUCAUGGCACUGCUUGUCUUUCAGUAAUGUUGUAUAAAGCGUCCAUGAAAAAUACACUCAGGCCAACCUAAAACUGCAGGUCAAGCCCAGGAAUGUGAGGAGUUAAACUGCAGUUUGUUACUGCUUAUUUCUUACCCUCUAGUGCCCAAGGCAGAGCCCAGCCCUUAAAACAGUUAAUAACAUUUAGAAAGAACUUCUUUAAUGGCAUUCAACCCCAGAGCUGUUCAGAAAUGAUGCAGCUGGCAGAGGAAGGGUUCCUGAAGAAAACAAGGCUGGCAUGGUGGACGUUGGCUGCUCCCCACACCCCAUCCCUGGCCUGAAAUCCACUGCAUCCAAAAUCCCUGGGUGGAGCCGAGCUCUCACAGGUAGUUAGACAGCUGGUAGACUGCAAAGCUCAGAAAAAUCCAGCCUUCUACUGUUUGUGUGUAUGUCUGUGCAACAGAUAAUGUUUUAUUUUAAUGGCUGCCUCUGUGCCCUCCUUGAUAUGGCUGUGAUUUGGUCUGUGGAAUAAAGAGGUGCCUGGCUAUGGCCACUCGUGUGCAGGGUGGCUCCUGCCAGCCUCUCCCACCUCCCUUUCCCAGGUUUUUAGGGCAAGUGAUCCCUCACAACCUCAGCAAUUUUGCUGUGCAGUUUUGCCCUUUGGGUCAGUAGGAGCUCAAAUCCUCUGCUGUGGCUUUGCCUUCCCUAAAUAAAAUUAAUUCAAGCCCCUGAGUUCACUGAGAUGAUGAAUUCAGAAGAGCAGCCAGUCCAAGUAAGGCACAGGGACAGGGAGGAUGAGGAUGGUGUUGGGUGGGAGCUCCUCUUCCCUUGGAGCAGCCCAGUUGAGCGUGGCCACCUGAGCAAGCCAGUGAUGAUGUAUUUAGAAAAGAAUCUGCUCUGAAACUGAAAGGCAGCUUCUUAAAUUGACUGAAUUACAUUUGUAUUUCAAAAAAGAAAAAGAAGCUGUAAAUCGCGUAUUUACACAGCGGAGCACGCGAGUGCUCAUACGAGACCCAGAUGUUCAUUAGAAACAUGGAUUUUUCUUCCUUGCUGCUACCCUGAAAACUGGGAAAAAAGUCAGCUGUGUUGAAGGGUUACAAAAGAGCGAGUUAAGUCUACAAAAUCCAGGAAAUUUCCCGUUAAGACGAAAAAUCUGGGGUACUGUUGUAGUCCUUUAAUUCAGCCCCAAGACAUAAAUUAAAGCCAGAGGAUCAGGUCAGGUGCUCAAGUUCUCAGACUGUAGCUGUGGAAUUUCCAGGUUAAGUUACUUAAAUUUUCCUGUUGCUGAAUAAAGCUAAAACCCUAUAUGCCAUAUAUUUGCUCAUCAUACAAUGUUCUCUCCUAGCCAGUAACAGCUUCUUUGUUGGCGAAGCCUGUCUGGUUUGUGAGGCUCCCAGCCUUUGUACAGGGUUUGGGAGUUAAGAACUUCCACAUGGCCCUUGCUCUGAGGCUUUUGUGAAUAAGCAAAGCAAAGCACUCGCUCCAUGGCCAACAAAUGCAUGGAAUAUGGUUUGAAUUCUCUGGUUUUAAAUGCAAAGGAUAAUAUUGAUUUUGUUAAGGUAAAUGUCUUUAAUUGAAUGCUGUAUAAACUCGACUCUCACUGGGCCAUAAUGGGCUCUGGGCAUCCCUCCAGCACAGCAGUAUGAAAAUGUCUCUUUUAGUGUCUCCAGUAGAGAAAUGCAGAAUUAAGAUUUAGAUGAAAAAAAGUGACGUGGAGUCCAUCCCCAGUCUCUAAAAAGGCAUGAUGCAGGAGGACAUUUACAUAGCUGGAAAUUAUUGCUUUAUUACGGUCAAGACUCUGCAGUAGCUGUUGAUGUGGAUUGUUUGGGGCUUUUUGUUGGGAUGGUGGGAAUAGAAAAUUAAAAGAGGGAAAACAGACAUUAAGAGAAAAUGAAGAAGUCUCAGUGUGGCUCAGUCUCAUCCACAGAACCUGGGUGGGAUCCUGACACAAAGAGGAGCUCAGCAGCUCAUUGAUGAUGAAAUGCUCUGUACUCUGCACCUUUUGCACAUCCCAUUCCUGAACAUUUAGGAGGGUGACAAGGACAAGAAGACAAGUGGGUGACUCAUGAUAUUCAUUUAUCAAAGGCAGUAAAGGUAUUUAAGAACAGACCAAACACUCUUGCAGUAGAUGAUGCCCUUUCAUUUAUUGCUAAUCUACCAUAGUACAGGCAAUAUAUAAAAAUACUUUACAGAUAGCAAAAAAUCAUUACAUUGGAGGUUAACAACGUUGUUGUAGGAAUGUGAAUGAUAUAAACCCCUUUUCAAUUGUGAGUCAGGGUUUUGAACAAGCAAUUUGAUUCAAAAGACACCUGUUAGGAUGAUGGGAGUGACAAACGCUCACUCGUGUGCCUAUUAAAAUAUGGCUUUACCUGAACAUCCAGGGCAGGCCUGGACUUUGGGGGGAAUCACUUCAUAAUUACAGACAAAAACCUGAGUGCCAGGCAGGCCAGCACUGUUCAGACUCUCUGUGCCCAGGUGUCACCAGCACACUGGGCCAGGCCCUGCUCAGAGCAGGGGCAAUCCUGCAAUAACUGCUGAUUCCAACAGCACAGCUGGGGAUUCCUGGGUUUUAAAAACAUUAUUCAUUUCUGAGACACAGUCCUUCUGGAGCUUUCUACCCAGUGUUGCUAUUUUAUGCAUUACAGAAGGAAACUCACCCCCACCUUUUCCCCAGGUAACCACUCUCUGCAGUCAAGAUCAUCUUUUACAGCAUCAGCACCUUCCGGUGAAGUUUAUUGCAAUGUGCAGGUACUAAUUUAUAUUUUUAUACCCCUGAAACAAUGAAAAUGGCUAAACAAACCUUAAACAGACCAGAGUGGGUUUGAUUCUGGCUGGUAGUUACAGAAGUUGGUAUCAGCUGUCACCCCUGCAGUUAUAACACAGCAGGUACUACAGAUACAGAUGCCAAUCUUAUGUCAAACGUUCCCAAAGGUGGAUUAUUCAUUCUGAACUGAGAUGAAUAAAGAAUUACAACCUUCCACGUGUGGUGGCAGAGUGCUGCCUCACAGGUAAGAAACCACUGCAAUGUAAAUGAUGAGGAAGAGUUGAUUUCUGGAGAAUUUUACAAUUCACCCCAUCGAGACCCAGCGGUGGCAUCUCUUCCUAUUGCACAGGAAUAUGGAACAUAAAUAACAAACACUCAGAACUGCAGCUAAACUGGAACAUCAGAUGAUUUAAGUGGUGCAAAAAUGAUGAGGAUCUGAAUCAGUUUAAGAUUUGAAAUUAAGACAGUCAUUUUCUUGAGUCCCAUCUGGCAGAAAAUUGUUCCCUAUUAAGUAGCAAUUUGGAAAGAAAUGCAGGGGAAAAAGUCAGAUUGAAAUAUUUAGAAACAUAUUUCUCAAGCGUUUAAAGCUGUCUUUGAAGUCUUUGGGAAAUUUAUCAAAUACAUCUUUUUUUUAGGACAACAACAAUUCAACAACAAUUGCAUAGAAAAGUAAGGCAUUCAGAAAAUGAAAAUUGAUCCUUUAUAAAUACUAACCUUAAUCCAAAAGUUAUUGCAUAUUUGGUCAGACAAAAAGCACAGUCACUUUUUUUUUGGUAAAGAUAUGGAUUACAAAAUACACUUUAAAAAACAUGCUAGCUACUUUGAGAACCGGUUUAGAUAUGUUAUGAAGCAGCAGCUUUUUAUACAAUACAGAAUAACAUAGUGCUGGUUUUGGGAAUACUCUACAUUCAGGAAAUGCUGUAUUCCUACAGGGAGAAUGGAAGGGAUACAUAUUUACAUGGAUACAAAUAAAGCAAGUGCAAAACCCAUGACUCUUCUACAUUCUUUCUACCAAUAAAAACAACAUACAUGAGACACUUUCACUCCAUUGCUGUUGCUCAGAUCUUACAUUUUGCUCAUUCUCAUGGAGAAAAACAAAAACAGGACUUCAUAUUUCAUUGCAAGUAUCUUCACAAGCAAUUGCUCUCCUGGCAAAUUCGACUUCCAACACUCAUAACAGACAAAAAAAAAUCUUCCUGAUAUCUGCCCACUCCCAAUCCACUCUCAGACUGUUUACAUAUCAUGAAUGAUGGUUUUUAUUCUACGUAUAUUUGAUGCAGAAGUUUAUAGAAGCUCCUCCUGUAUUUGCAGCCAAAGCUUGGAUGGAAAAAUGGAAGUUAAAAAAAAAAUAAACACACACACACACAACACAAAUAAA